UGUUUAUAAAGAAGAGGUAAGAGACUAGGCUCAAUGACCCUCUAGCAACCAUCAAAUAUGAAAAGGUGCUACAUCCUAGCCUAAUUAUUAGGAAAUAUAAACG
Molecule: non-coding RNA, 103 nt
Filed under: Flammeovirga sp. SJP92
Lineage: Bacteria; Pseudomonadati; Bacteroidota; Cytophagia; Cytophagales; Flammeovirgaceae
Also listed under: 1 other name
Description: SAM riboswitch aptamer (S box leader)
Rfam family: SAM riboswitch aptamer (S box leader)
About the family: The SAM riboswitch is found upstream of a number of genes which code for proteins involved in methionine or cysteine biosynthesis in Gram-positive bacteria. The SAM riboswitch acts at the level of transcription termination control. The predicted structure consists of a complex stem-loop region followed by a single stem loop terminator region.
Source: Rfam by way of RNAcentral